Molecule: microRNA precursor, 123 nt
Filed under: Helianthus tuberosus
Lineage: Eukaryota; Viridiplantae; Streptophyta; Magnoliopsida; Asterales; Asteraceae
Description: miR156a stem-loop (htu-MIR156a)
Gene: htu-MIR156a
Source: miRBase by way of RNAcentral
GGAGUGAUAAGAGAUAGAGUUGACAGAAGAGAGUGAGCACACAAAGGCAAAUUGUACCAAUUUGUGUUGUAUGAUUGUUUUGGGUGCUCAUGAUCUAUCUGUCAGCUUCUUCUUACUCUAUUU